Molecule: long non-coding RNA, 282 nt
Filed under: Actinidia chinensis (golden kiwifruit)
Lineage: Eukaryota; Viridiplantae; Streptophyta; Magnoliopsida; Ericales; Actinidiaceae
Description: long non-coding RNA (ACHI_LNC000062)
Source: RNAcentral
AAUCAAGUGCAACAUACUUCAGUAAGUAAUCAGCCUGUCGGAUAAUUGUGAACGUCAAAGGCAUAUCUAAAAACUUGAUCGGCAACAAAAGAUAGUUUAUUGAUAAGCAUGUCGUGUAAGAAGCAAAUGGCAUUUAAACAAUAAAAUCUAAAACAGGCAGUUCUUGAUAAGUAAUUAGCUAGCUCAGUUAGUAGAGUAAUUACUACUUUACUAUGAAGUUCCUGGUUCAUGCGAGUAUCUAGCAUCUGGUCCUGAUUGUAUUUAUGUAAACUGCUGAUACCG